AUCACCUGGCAGGGGAGAUACCGUGAUCAAGAAGGCGGUUCACCCUGGGCGAGGCUCAGCCAUUGCACUCUGGCUGUGCUGAGCCCUAAAAAUUCUCCAAAUGUGGGAAUCUUGACUGCAUAAUUUCUGAUAGUGGGGGACUGCAUUUUUGCUCUCCCCUA
Molecule: small nuclear RNA, 161 nt
Gene: U1
Rfam family: U1 spliceosomal RNA
About the family: U1 is a small nuclear RNA (snRNA) component of the spliceosome (involved in pre-mRNA splicing).
Source: Ensembl